This 292-nucleotide ribosomal RNA is filed under the name uncultured bacterium. RNAcentral describes it as "partial 16S ribosomal RNA". It matches the Rfam family "Bacterial small subunit ribosomal RNA", at positions 505 to 796 of the family's 1533-position model. The record is from RNAcentral.
GUGUCAGCCGCCGCGGUAAUACGAAGGGGGCUAGCGUUGCUCGGAAUUACUGGGCGUAAAGCGCACGUAGGCGGUUUCUUAAGUCGGGGGUGAAAUCCUGGAGCUCAACUCCAGAACUGCCUUCGAUACUGGGAAACUUGAGUUCGGGAGAGGUGAGUGGAACUGCGAGUGUAGAGGUGAAAUUCGUAGAUAUUCGCAAGAACACCAGUGGCGAAGGCGGCUCACUGGCCCGAUACUGACGCUGAGGUGCGAAAGCGUGGGGAGCAAACAGGAUUAGAAACCCUUGUAGUCC